Molecule: ribosomal RNA, 256 nt
Filed under: Heterospilus sp. MAS-2010
Lineage: Eukaryota; Metazoa; Arthropoda; Insecta; Hymenoptera; Braconidae
Description: partial 28S ribosomal RNA
Source: RNAcentral
CAUCGUCAGCUCAUUUUGUAUAUGUAUGANGUUAUGAUGCGAGUUACUCUNUGUAGUAUUGCUUGCACGUACUUGUANGUUUAUUUGCAAGAUGUUGUCGGCGUGCACUUCUCCCCUAGUAGAACGUCGCGACCCGUUGGGUGUUGGUCUACGACCCGAGUGGGAGCCUUUAAUAUUUUNAUAAUAUUAAAGACCCUUGGUGUUUUCUGACCAGCUGCCCGGCGGUACUCGUACGGUAUUUAGCCGCANUUUAUUU